This 165-nucleotide ribosomal RNA is filed under the name Bacillus cereus. Its description in RNAcentral is "partial 16S ribosomal RNA". It matches the Rfam family "Bacterial small subunit ribosomal RNA", at positions 1 to 159 of the family's 1533-position model. Lineage: Bacteria; Bacillati; Bacillota; Bacilli; Caryophanales; Bacillaceae. The record is from RNAcentral.
UUUAUUGGAGAGUUUGAUCCUGGCUCAGGAUGAACGCUGGCGGCGUGCCUAAUACAUGCAAGUCGAGCGAAUGGAUUGAGAGCUUGCUCUCAAGAAGUUAGCGGCGGACGGGUGAGUAACACGUGGGUAACCUGCCCAUAAGACUGGGAUAACUCCGGGAAACCG